This 250-nucleotide ribosomal RNA is filed under the name uncultured bacterium. Its description in RNAcentral is "partial 16S ribosomal RNA". It matches the Rfam family "Bacterial small subunit ribosomal RNA", at positions 335 to 578 of the family's 1533-position model. The record is from RNAcentral.
UGCCUACGGGGGGCAGCAGUAGGGAAUCUUCCACAAUGGACGAAAGUCUGAUGGAGCAACGCCGCGUGAGUGAAGAAGGGUUUCGGCUCGUAAAGCUCUGUUGUUGGAGAAGAAAGUGCGUGAGAGUAACUGUUCACGCAGUGACGGUAUCCAACCAGAAAGUCACCGCUAACUACGGGCCAGCAGCCGCGGUAAUACGUAGGGGGCAAGCGUUAUCCGGAUUUAUUGGGCGUAAAGCGAGCGCAGGGGG